This 500-nucleotide ribosomal RNA is filed under the name uncultured bacterium. Its description in RNAcentral is "bacterial SSU rRNA". It matches the Rfam family "Bacterial small subunit ribosomal RNA", at positions 28 to 507 of the family's 1533-position model. The record is from RNAcentral.
GACUAACGCUGGCGGCGUGCCUAACACAUGCAAGUCGAACGAGUUGUUUAAGGUAGCAAUAUUUUGAGCAGCAAGUGGCGAACGGGUGAGUAACACGUAGAUAAUCUGCCUUUCAGACGGGGAUAACUCAGGGAAACUUGUGCUAAUACCCGAUGAGACUACGAGGGGGGACCUUCGCAGCCAAAGGUGGGCGAAAGCUCACGCUGGAAGAUGAGUCUGCGUCCUAUCAGCUAGUUGGUGGGGUAAAAGCCUACCAAGGCGAAGACGGGUAGCCGGCCUGAGAGGGUGAACGGCCACACUGGGACUGAGACACGGCCCAGACUCCUACGGGAGGCAGCAGUGAGGAAUUUUCCGCAAUGGGCGCAAGCCUGACGGAGCGACGCCGCGUGAGGGAUGACGGCCUUCGGGUUGUAAACCUCUUUUAUUAAGGAAAAAGGCAAUCGUGCUAACACCACGGUUGUUUGAUGGUACUUAUUGAAUAAGCCCCGGCUAACUACGUG